UGCGUAGGUGGCUGGGAAAGUUUGAUGUGAAAGCUCAGGGCUUAACCCUGAAAUGGCAUUGAAUACUGCCUGGCUGGAGGUUUGGAGGGGGGACUGGAAUUCUUGGUGUAGCAGUGAAAUGCGUAGAUAUCAAGAGGAACACCAGUGGCGAAGGCGAGUCCCUGGACAACACCUGACACUGAGGCACGAAAGCUGGGAGCAAACA
Molecule: ribosomal RNA, 205 nt
Filed under: uncultured bacterium
Lineage: Bacteria
Description: partial 16S ribosomal RNA
Rfam family: Bacterial small subunit ribosomal RNA
Source: RNAcentral